GAUUAUCAACUUUCGAUGGUAGGAUAGAGGCCUACCAUGGUGGUAACGGGUAACGGGGUGUUAGGGCACGACACCGGGAGAGGGAGCUGAGAAACGGCUACCACAUCCAAGGAUGGCAGCAGGCGCGCAAAUUACCCAAUCCCGACACGGGGAGGUAGUGACAAUAAAUAACAAUACGGGGUUCUUUCGGAUUUCGUAAUUGGAAUGAGUACAAUUUAAAUCUCUUAACGAGGAACAAUUGGAGGGCAAGUCUGGUGCCAGCAGCCGCGGUAAUUCCAGCUCCAAUAGCGUAUAUUAAAGUUGCUGCAGUUAAAAAGCUCGUAGUUGAAUUUCGGGACUAAUAUGUCGGUCGUGCCUCGGUACGUACUGGCUUAUUGGUUUCUCCUUUCUGAAGAACCAUGAUGUCAUUUAUUUGGUGUCGUGGGGAAUCAGGACUGUUACUUUGAAAAAAUUAGAGUGUUUAAAGCAGGCUCACGCUUGAAUACAUUAGCAUGGAAUAAUGAAAUAGGACGUUUGAUUCUAUUUUGUUGGUUUCUAGGAUCGACGUAAUGAUUAAUAGGGAUAGUUGGGGGCAUUAGUAUUCAAUUGUCAGAGGUGAAAUUCUUGGAUUUAUUGAAGACUAACUACUGCGAAAGCAUUUGCCAAGGAUGUUUUCAUUAAUCAAGAACGAAAGUUAGGGGAUCGAAGACGAUCAGAUACCGUCGUAGUCUUAACCAUAAACUAUGCCGACUAGGGAUCGGAUGAUGUUAAUUUUUUAAUGACUCAUUCGGCGCCUUACGGGAAACCAAAGUGUUUGGGUU
This 800-nucleotide ribosomal RNA is filed under the name uncultured Glomeromycotina. RNAcentral's name for it is "SSU rRNA". It matches the Rfam family "Eukaryotic small subunit ribosomal RNA", at positions 310 to 1113 of the family's 1831-position model. The record is from RNAcentral. Lineage: Eukaryota; Fungi; Glomeromycota.